AUAUGGUCGAGACCAAUUAAGAGUCGGUGAAGAUCUUAAGUUGUUCCACCCCGAGCUCUUUGGCGAUGCUAACGCUGGUGGUUAGUACCUCAUAUUCAGCUGCAUUAUUAGAGGCUUUGAAUUUGAACCAUAGUACAUAUUAGGUCACAACUCCAUCCGAACCGAUGGGAAUGAGUCUGACUCCACUGUUUUGAGAAUCUGAGGCUCUAUCAACAUAUAAGAUCCACUGGGAUCCAUUGACCUAUUCAUCGAAUGCUACUGGGGUUGAUUCCUCAUCGAGGAUAGUAUUUUCGAUGAUGAAGUCUAUCA
This 309-nucleotide long non-coding RNA is filed under the name Elaeis guineensis (African oil palm). RNAcentral's name for it is "long non-coding RNA (EGUI_LNC037434)". The record is from RNAcentral. Lineage: Eukaryota; Viridiplantae; Streptophyta; Magnoliopsida; Arecales; Arecaceae.